GGGAAUACUGAUAAGAAUCAAUUGUUCUAUAUAGUUUUCCUCCGCUCAACCUACAUUAGCAGCACAUAACUCGUCAUAAGGAUGAAGCACCAAACUAGCUCAUAAAAAUUACUCUACAAGGUAAAUUGAAGCCAAUGUCUUUGAAGCACAUGCUGGUCUAGUGCAAGAUUUAUCUUAACACCUCAAGUGUUGUAUUUUGCACAUGGUGUAUUAACCAGGAAUUAAAAUUUACAAAUGAAACAAAAACUCAAGAACCAUGAUCACAAGUUCACAACUGAGAGCAGACAUAUUGUUAAGAAUGAAAUAAUCCAUCCACCCAAUUCAAUUCAGUGGACAUAUCUACAGAUCCCACCUAGUCUCACUUAACGGGAGUUCAAAUAUGAUUCUCAAAUCUCAACCACAACAAGAAUCCAUGGUAACUCAGAAGUCAGAACAGAGGAACUGGCCAGACGUUCAGAACUAAGCAACCGCUCUCCAAGCAACUCAACCCUGACGGUUAGCAGAGCGGCNNNNN
This 514-nucleotide long non-coding RNA is filed under the name Hordeum vulgare. RNAcentral describes it as "long non-coding RNA (HVUL_LNC020923)". The record is from RNAcentral. Lineage: Eukaryota; Viridiplantae; Streptophyta; Magnoliopsida; Poales; Poaceae.